RNAcentral lists this transfer RNA (83 nucleotides) under Haliaeetus albicilla (white-tailed eagle). It matches the Rfam family "tRNA". From Rfam's summary of the family: Transfer RNA (tRNA) molecules are approximately 80 nucleotides in length. Their secondary structure includes four short double-helical elements and three loops (D, anti-codon, and T loops). The record is from Rfam by way of RNAcentral. Lineage: Eukaryota; Metazoa; Chordata; Aves; Accipitriformes; Accipitridae.
GUCAGGAUGGCGGAGUGGUCUAAGGCAUUGCAUUCAGGUUGCAGCCUCCCUGGGAGGCAUGGCUUCGAGUCCCACUCCUGACA